Molecule: ribosomal RNA, 437 nt
Filed under: uncultured Oscillospiraceae bacterium
Lineage: Bacteria; Bacillati; Bacillota; Clostridia; Eubacteriales; Oscillospiraceae
Description: partial 16S ribosomal RNA
Rfam family: Bacterial small subunit ribosomal RNA
Source: RNAcentral
ACGGAAGGCAGCAGUGGGGAAUAUUGGGCAAUGGGCGAAAGCCUGACCCAGCGACGCCGCGUGAAGGAAGAAGAUCUUCGGAUUGUAAACUUUAGUCAACAGGGACGAAGAAAGUGACGGUACCUGUGGAGGAAGCCGCGGCUAACUACGUGCCAGCAGCCGCGGUAAUACGUAGGUGGCGAGCGAUAUCCGGAUUUACUGGGUGUAAAGGGUGUGUAGGCGGGCCUGCAAGUCAGAUGUGAAAACUAUGGGCUUAACCCAUAGCCUGCAUUGGAAACUGUGGGUCUUGAGAGUGGGAGAGGUAAAUGGAAUUCCCGGUGUAGCAGUGAAAUGCGUAGAUAUCGGGAGGAACACCAGUGGCGAAGGCGAUUUACUGGACCACAACUGACGCUGAGACACGAAAGCGUGGGGAGCAAACAGGAUUAGAUACCCUGGUA